Non-coding RNA from Paramormyrops kingsleyae, 1902 nucleotides. Lineage: Eukaryota; Metazoa; Chordata; Actinopteri; Osteoglossiformes; Mormyridae. The record is from RefSeq and is a predicted model, not a curated record.
CUCUUUUGUUGACUAUUAGUGAGGCGCACGCGCAUCUGCGAGUUUCAGAAAAGCGCGGUUCAAUUUUGGCGGGUCCGGCCAUAAUAUUUAAAAAUAAAUAAGGUAUUUGAAAAUACUAUUUAUCAGUGAAUUUGUAUAUUUUCCCCCUGUCAUGGUUGGGUUUCCUCCGAGUUCCCCCCCACAGUCCGUAAGUGUGAAGGCGUGUGUGAAUGGUGUGUGUCCCCGUCAAUGGAUUGGCGUCCCUUCCUGGGUUACUACCUGCCUCGGGGAUAUUGAAAAUGGAUGGAUGGAUAAUUAUUAUUUAUCCAUUCUCUAAUAAGUUGUGUUUUAUUCGUUCUGAAGCCGAAAGUAUUUCGACCAAGUAUACUGUCUUGUUCGGCGACGAAUAAAAUUAAGAAAAAACUGAGCCGAUACGAAAUGUUGUCUAAUGUGUCUGGGUCGUCACAGACAGUGUAGCACGUUUAUGUGAAACUUAGCAAAAAUGCAAGAAAAUGAGAAAAGCGAACAAGAGCUGGUCACCGAACGACAGUCCUCUUGCGCUGUAUGGAAAUAUUUCCUAUUCCCCAGAGACAAUACGGUGCAAAAACAAGCGAUUUGUCGGCACUGCCUCGUGCCUGUUGGUACAACUGGCGGCAACAGCUCCCAACUUAUUUUACAAAAUUCCGUUAGAGUUACAGUGUAAGUGCACUAUUGACAUGGCAUUUCCUGACAGAUCAUUAGCCAACACAUAAUAUAUGCCUAAAGUAGAUGAUUUCAGCAAGCAUUCUUACUAAUCAAAAUUUGUUAAGCAAAAUUUUUUCUAUUGUGGUACUUCGAUCGCUGUUCCCUUCAACGAAUUUAAUACAUCAUGUACUAUUUAAAUCAAUUUAUAAUAUUUACUUAUUCAAUCAUAAUACACUGCCAUAAAAUAUAAGGGUUAAAUACACUAUGGUAAAAUUCACGUAUAAGUUAUUCAGAUGCACUUGUAUCACCACAAUUAAUUAAAGAGGUUCCUCCACUGUAAAAAAUAGACCUUCUUAUUUUUAAUUAUUAUUAUUAAAAUAUUCUCACAUUGAAAUUAAAUAAAUAUAGGAAACGCUUUGAUCUUCUGGUUAACACGUUAAAUUUGCCAAUUUCCCCCUAAAAUCUUGAAAAUAAAAGGUACCCCAAAACUUACCGCGGAUGCAUAUCAUAACUGGCCGUGAAAUGUAGUUGGAGAUGGAAGCAGCCAGAGGCGGGAAGAGCGAGCGGGCCGGGAACGCAGGCGGGAAGAGCGAGCCGGGAAGGAGGUCAGUAUAUCACCAGCCCUGCAGCACUGAAGCCAGAACAUCACCAGCCGUGCAGGAGGCCAACAUAUCACCAGCCCUGCAGCACAACAACACCAGCCAAUCAUCAGCCCCGUAGCAGGCACACCAAGAAAAGCAAUGAAUUCCAUUCUUUGCCGAGUCCUGGCUGUACUUGAAGAAAUUAAGGAUACACAGCAAAUCAAUGGAAAAAUGUUAAAUGCACUCUUGAAACAUGGAGACUGUCAGCUUCCUGAAGGUGGUGCUAUUUCCUGGUGACUAGUGACCUUGUCCUGAGGGACAACCUCUUUGGGCGCCAUGGCAAGCGAGCAUUUCAUAAUUGCCAGCUUUUUGAAGUUGUUUAUAAUGAGAGCAAGCUUAGCAGUGACGGGCUUCUCCUGUAGCAGUGCCCAGGGAGCUGGGGGUUUCUCUCAAGGGUCCACAGAUGCCGCUAUCCUGCACUUACUGUCUUAUGGCACACGUCACAUCAGUCUUCUGCAAAAGAAAGUAUGAGGGCACUGAAAAGAAAGCUGUGCUCAGGAACCAACAGGAACUGGUUAUGAGCUACCUUGACGUAAAGCAGCUGCUACAUCAUCUGUAUGUUUUGUUUUCCUAUUAUUUUUAAAUGAAAGAUUAGCAA